ACGUAGGGAGCGAGCGUUAUCCGGAUUCAUUGGGCGUAAAGCGCGCGUAGGCGGGCGUUUAAGCGGAAUCUCUAAUCCGAGGGCUCAACCCCCGGCCGGAUUCCGAACUGGACGCCUCGAGUUCGGUAGAGGAAGAUGGAAUUCCCGGUGUAGCGGUGGAAUGCGCAGAUAUCGGGAAGAACACCGAUGGCGAAGGCAGUCUUCUGGGCCGCGACUGACGCUGAGGCGCGAAAGCUGGGGGAGCGAACAG
This 250-nucleotide ribosomal RNA is filed under the name uncultured bacterium. Its description in RNAcentral is "partial 16S ribosomal RNA". It matches the Rfam family "Bacterial small subunit ribosomal RNA", at positions 525 to 775 of the family's 1533-position model. The record is from RNAcentral.